GGCGAACGCUGGCGGCGUGCUUAACACAUGCAAGUCGAACGGAAAGGCCCUGCUUUUGUGGGGUGCUCGAGUGGCGAACGGGUGAGUAACACGUGAGUAACCUGCCCUUGACUUUGGGAUAACUUCAGGAAACUGGGGCUAAUACCGGAUAGGAGCUCCUGCUGCGUGGUGGGGGUUGGAAAGUUUCGGCGGUUGGGGAUGGACUCGCGGCUCAUCAGCUUGUUGGUGGGGUAGUGGCUUACCAAGGCUUUGACGGGUAGCCGGCCUGAGAGGGUGACCGGCCACAUUGGGACUGAGAUACGGCCCAGACUCCUACGGGAGGCAGCAGUGGGGAAUAUUGCACAAUGGGCGGAAGCCUGAUGCAGCAACGCCGCGUGCGGGAUGACGGCCUUCGGGUUGUAAACCGCUUUCGCCUGUGACGAAGCGUGAGUGACGGUAAUGGGUAAAGAAGCACCGGCUAACUACGUG
RNAcentral lists this ribosomal RNA (468 nucleotides) under uncultured bacterium. RNAcentral describes it as "partial 16S ribosomal RNA". It matches the Rfam family "Bacterial small subunit ribosomal RNA", at positions 28 to 507 of the family's 1533-position model. The record is from RNAcentral.